This 321-nucleotide unclassified non-coding RNA is filed under the name Hevea brasiliensis (rubber tree). Lineage: Eukaryota; Viridiplantae; Streptophyta; Magnoliopsida; Malpighiales; Euphorbiaceae. The record is from RNAcentral.
GGAGUAAACAGUGCCGGAGAUCGUGGUGUUGACAAUGCCAGUAGUGAUGUUGACCUGAGUACCGGCAGUGGUGACGUUCAGCGGGUACUGCCCGUUGUUUGCAUCACCUGCCUGAGUCCGAAGAGGGUUGCUCACUGUUUCGAACUGAGGAAUGGUGACAAGCGAAGGAAGAACAUGGAAUUGCACAAGGGCAACCUUCUGCUGGUCGGUGAGGGAGUUGAGGGUGCCGGAGGAGAGGCUGGAGAAGGCGUUGUCGGUGGGGGCGAACAGAGUCAUGCCAUUGUUGGAGUUGUUGAGCUGCUGAUCGAUUUGGUUGGCAAC